GACGAACGCUGGCGGCGUGCUUAACACAUGCAAGUCGAACGGAAAGGCCCUGCUUUUGUGGGGUGCUCGAGUGGCGAACGGGUGAGUAACACGUGAGUAACCUGCCCUUGACUUUGGGAUAACUUCAGGAAACUGGGGCUAAUACCGGAUAGGAGCUCCUGCUGCAUGGUGGGGGUUGGAAAGUUUCGGCGGUUGGGGAUGGACUCGCGGCUUAUCAGCUUGUUGGUGGGGUAGUGGCUUACCAAGGCUUUGACGGGUAGCCGGCCUGGGAGGGUGACCGGCCACAUUGGGACUGGGAUACGGCCCAGGCUCCUACGGGGGGCAGCAGUGGGGAAUAUUGCACAAUGGGCGGAAGCCUGAUGCAGCAACGCCGCGUGCGGGAUGACGGCCUUCGGGUUGUAAACCGCUUUCGCCUGUGACGAAGCGUGAGUGACGGUAAUGGGUAAAGAAACACCGGCUAACUACGU
RNAcentral lists this ribosomal RNA (467 nucleotides) under uncultured bacterium. Its description in RNAcentral is "partial 16S ribosomal RNA". It matches the Rfam family "Bacterial small subunit ribosomal RNA", at positions 28 to 506 of the family's 1533-position model. The record is from RNAcentral.